This 7711-nucleotide long non-coding RNA is filed under the name Octopus vulgaris (common octopus). Lineage: Eukaryota; Metazoa; Mollusca; Cephalopoda; Octopoda; Octopodidae. The record is from RNAcentral.
AUCAUCAUCAUCAUAUAUAUAUAUAUAUAUAUGUGUGUGUGUGUGUGUGUGUGUGUAAUGUGUGUGUGUGUGUAAUGUGUGUGUGUGUGUGUGUUAUAGCUAUUUUGACUGUAAACAAUGAAAUAUGGUUGGCAAAAUUAGAAUACAAUUAGAUCUUGAAAGGAAUAGUUUCAUAAUAUUUAUUUCUAACAUCGACUUAUCAACACAUUGUUUUAAUUAGUGUGUGACCAGUGGAUUGGCCACAGGGCCAUUGUAAGAAGUCAACAUUAUUUUUGCACAAAGUUUGUUGAGUGACAGUGGUUUUCUUCUUCUUCAAGAGGCCACAACCGAGAUAGAAUUCAGUUUUAACAUUUUAUGAAGUGAAAUCAAGUUUCAGGUGUGCAAAAGUUAAAUUUGAUAAAACUAGCGAUGGUCUGUGUCAGCAAAUUGGAAUAUAAAGAUUUUAAACAGUGGAAUAUAUUUUUGGCAUUUCCAAAGAAAUGUUUUUUUUCUGCAGUGUUAAAUUUUUCUCUUCUAUAAUAUUUAUAUUGGCAUAAUAUUUUAUUCCAGUUUUUUACUUUUAAUUUCCACCCGUUUGGUGGAAUUGAUAGAGUACUGGAAAAAAUGCCUUCUCCCUAGUUUUUACUAUGGCUCUUUGUGCUGAUUUCUAAUCCCAGUUAAGUAAACAUUGCCUUUUUUAUCCUCUUUUGGUUGAUAAAAUAAAAUAGCAGUCAAGUACUGGAAAUAAUUCAACAUUGCAAUAGGGCAUUGUAGGAAUUAUAAGAAGCAGAAAUCUGCAUUUUAACCCUGUUCUUAGCCUAAAGGACUGUACUAAGUCCAAGGACUUACAAAACCUGUUACCGAGUUUCCUUGAUGUAUAAAUAUCUGAGAUCAUAACUCUCCUCCUCAAUGGGAUCCCAGUCAGUCAUAGCUAUCGCUGGAUCUCAUUUAUGGCUGAGUAGACUGGAGCUAUGUGAAAUGAAGCAUUUUGCUCAAGAACACAAUGCACUGCCUGAUCUAGGAUUCGAAACCCUAGCCACCAGGACAUGUGUCUUCACCUUUUAACUCUGUUGAGUCAAUAGGCUUGAUUAAAUUAACAAUAGUCUUCUUUCCAGAAAAUUUUUGGCCUUCUGCCAAUGCAAGAAGUCAAUACUAAUAUACAAUAUACUCAUCCACAACAUAGAAAGAAUUUGACAGUUUAGUUUGGUUAGUUAGAUUGUUACAUCAUUUUCUUUAUUGAUGUAGUUUAAAAUUUUCUUUGAUUUUCUUCUAGGUUAGGAUAGUUUAUUUUGUGAUCUUGGUGGGGUUCCAUGUAAUGGAGAGUGGAUCAAAUGCAGUAGUUACCAUUUAUUUCUAGAAUUACAUUAUUUUCCCCCUUUUUUAAUGGCAUUUAUGUUUUUGCUGAUUAAAGACAAAAAAAAAAAUUCUUAAAAGAAUUAUCCCCCUUAGAUAGUAGGACAUCAUGCUCUCCUGUGCCAAAGAAAACAAAACUUGUAUGAUGUCAUACCCACCAGUAACAAGCAAUGCACAGGAAAGCAAAGCUAAGCAUAGAGUGCAUUGAGUGUGUUUGGUGUGUGCUUGUGUGUGUGUCUUUGCGUGUGUUUCUGCAUGUGCCUGUGUGUGUGUAUGUAUGUAUGUGUGUGUGUGUGUGUGUGUGUGUGUGUGUGUGUUUCUGCAUGUGAUUAUAUAUUUUAUGUUUACGUGCAACAAGCAUGGCUUUUUGAGUAAAGCUUUUUGUAUCAGUAAAGCCAAAAAUACAAAAGAUAAAAAAUUAUAAAAAAUAAAAAAAUAAAAAAAUAACUAAAAAAAAAUUGACAAUACAAGCAAAAUGCUGAGUUGAUAUUUUAGUAAGAAAUAUGAACAAAUAGGUAGCCUGUUCCCUGGAUAUGAUUAAUAUCAUCUCAGUGGUUUAGUCCCCUAUUAAAUAAGCACCAUGGGGAACUCAUAUAUCACUGAAACGAACCACAAGAGUCACUAGUCUCUAAACAACUUUAACUACCCAUAACAAUCAAAUCUGUAAUCUUGGACAUUUAGUUUAUAGUGAUUUUCUCAUCACUGUUUCACCAAUGUCUAUGUUUUGUUGAAGCUAAAACCUCUCCACGUUGUCUUCCAUGCUUCAUUUGUUUAUAUAAUUUAUAAUACAAUAACUGAAUACAAGUAGAAUCAAUCAUUGGGUCAUUGCAUUAUUGACCAUUAAAUAUUUCAGUUGUGAUAGUUAAAGACUAAUAAGGUUCAUUUCUCACAUCACAUUAUUAUUUCAGGUUUAGGUUUUUUUUUGCCUUUUGUUUUUUUAAAUUAUGUUCCUUGUAUUGAACAUGUUAGUUAAAGGAAACUGAACUUAAUAUUCUUUUCUACCCUAGGUACAAGGCCCGAAAUUUUUGAGGAGGGGGCCAGUCGAUAGAUUGACCCCAGUAUACAACUGGUACUUAAUUUAUCAACCCCAAAAGGAUGGAAGGCAAAGCGGACCUCAGCGGAAUUUGAACUCAGAACGUAAAGACAGAUGAAAUACUGCUAAGCAUUUUGCCCAGCGUGCUAACGUUUCUGCCAGCUCGCUGCCUUAAACUGAACUCAAUGUUAACAAAUAGUUUGUUAACUUGCAGAUCUGAGAGUGGUCUGAAAUUCCAUUACUGGUUGGAGGGAUCACUGACAGGUCUCAUUGAAAAGAAAAGUUUAGGGAGGAGAUGGAAGAGGAAGUGAGGAAGGAGGUGGGGGGAGGAAGACGAAGAGAGGAAACCAGAGAAGGAAUAUAAGGAGGAGGAAGAGGAGGAAGAAGAAGAAGAAGGAGGAGGAUGACGACAAGGAGAAGAAGAAGAAGAAGAAGAAGAAGAAGAAGAAGAAGAAGGAGAAGAAGAAGAAGAAGAAGAAGAAGAAGAAGAAGAAGAAAAAGUGAAGGGAAGAGAAUAAGAGUAAGAUGAUGUAGAAAAAGCAGGAGAGUAAAAAAGUUUUUCUGUCUAUUAUCUUGAGAUCAAAUACUCCUUUGAGUAUAGUUUAGUGAACAUAUGGUCACUAGCGGUUGGACUAAUGUCAUAAGCAACAUGAAAAUUUUAUUUUAUUUUCAUUUACUAUUUUAAGUUUUUUGUUGUUUUUUUUUUGUAUACUGAUUUAGCAAAUUUGGACAUUUGCUUUAUUUUGAAGUAAAUAUUUCUACAACAGGAUUUUAUUUUCUACUACAAUUCAUUGGAAUGUGGAGCAGGGACAUGGAAAGUUGGAUGUGAAACCUAUUUUGUCAGCUAGGUAGACUGAAGUAAUACAUCAACAUCCUACAUUUGAUUGAACUUGUAUAAUUGUUUCUAUCGUUUAUAGAUAUCUCCCCACUCACAAUAUUUUAGGUCAUUAUCCUACUGUAUUUACUGGCAUAUAAAAUACACUCUGACAUAAAAUGCAACCCUAUUUGACAAAGCAUAUUUUGUGGAAUGAACAAAUUUAGUAUUUGUCAUCAUACACAUAUUGAAAGAUAUUUUAAAGUGGUUUUUAUAGGUGGAAAAUAUAUGCAUCUGUGCAUAUUGAUAUAAUGUGCUGUGACAAUAUACUAGAGUAAAGUAUGAAACAUAUUAAAACUCUGACAUCUGGCAACUCACUUGGUAGAAACCUACAAGAUUAACUGCCAUCUUUCCAACAAUAACUUUGGGCAUUUUCUUAAAUUCCAUAUGUCUAACACUUAUGGAUAUGUUUACAAAAUCAAAAAACAAUAUGGCACCCGUGUUUUUGGGAAACAUUUAUUCAUGCUCAGAAUGGCUGAAGCAUGAAACAAACUACCUGCAUCAGUUGUUAGCUGUUGAGACACUACAUCCUUCAAAACUUCCAUGCUUCCUGAAAUUCGCCAACAGUACACCCCCACUCCAUUUCUUUUCUCAUUUUCAUUUUUUUUUAAAGACUUAUUCACUGUUCACUUCCUGUGUAUAUUCUAUAUACUGUUCAUGCAGUUUUGGUUACUUUUUCUGAUGAGUUGUAGUGCACCUGAGCACUGUAUACAAUAAGUUCAUUCUUGUUAUUAGCCACAAAUUUAUCAUAAAUAAUCAACAUUAUAUGAGCAUUGUAUUUCAACUUUUUCUUCUUUUAGAUCAAUUGCAAAUUUAUUUAUAUUUUGGUUAUAAGAGUUGCUAUACAGGAUGUAAAACUCAUAUUUUUGGCUAUGAUGUUUUUGUUACUCUGAUCCAUCACCAGGGUGGGGCAUCAUCACUAUACUUUUUUUGUCAUGCACUCAUUACAAAUAGCUGACAGGUAGAUGAAAGUUAAACAUUCCUUUUAUCUUUCUAGAAGAAAAUGUUUCUUAAAGGUAACAUAGCCAUUAAAUAAUGUAAGACACAUUUGUUGUGGGUUAUGUAAGCUGGGGGAAGGAGAUAUAAAGAGAUGUUGUGAAAUCCCCACAUAACUGCUGUACCUUAACUGUACCUUAAGCAAUUUUUCAUAAGUUUGUUCUAAUAAGCUGUGAUAGUUUGGCUUGCUUUUCAAUAUUUAUUAUCAGUGACAAUUAUUGUGUCUUGUGGACUUAUGCUUAGCUUCCCUAGCCUAAAGCACUCAAUCUCUUAUCCAUAAUAUGGCUGCAUCAAAUACAGAGUGAUUUUUUUUUAUACAUUUGAUAAUAAAAGAAGCAUGUCUUAUAUGCCAGUAAAUAUGGUACUUACAUAAAAGGAAUAUUGUCAUCCUCCUUCAACUACUCUUCCUUCUUCCACUCCUCCUCAUCAUCAUAAUCAUCCUUGUUAGCAAAACCAUCACUAUCAUCAACAAGAUCUUUGUUAUUUGUUUACCAAUGGACUUUGUUGAUUUGAUUUUUAUGUUUAUUAGGUUUGUUUUACUAUUUAUUUUGCAACAUGUAGGUAGUGAUAGUGAAAGUAGUGGUGGUGGAGCUGACACUCUGGUUGGUAUUAUUUCUUAUACAUUCUUAAACCAAUGACUGCCCCAAAUAUUUUGUUUGCUAUGAAAUUCUAAAUUAUGAUACUUGCUCUGUCAUGAGAUUUAUCUUCCAUUAUAAUUUCUCAGAUGUUUUCUUUGUCCCACAUACAUACAUACAUACAUACAUACAUACAUACAUACAUACAUACAUACAUACAUACAUACAUACAUACAUACAUACAUACAUACAUACAUGCAUGCAUGCAUAUUAGUUGUCAACUCGUCCUCAAGUAAGUUAUCUUGGAAUUUCUUCUUGAGCCUCUUUCAUGACUUUGUAAAUGACUUUUCAGGCCAGAUUUCAACUUCACAGAAUCAUACAUACAUAUGUACAUCAUUAUCAUCAUCAUUUGUCAUCCAAUUUCCAUGUUGGCAUGGUUCUGGCAAGCUUCAAAUCAGCUUUGAUUCCUACAACUGGAUGCUCUUCUUAACACCAACCACUUUACAGAGUGUAUAGAAUGCUUUUUUUGUGAAUUACUAGCACUUGUGAGGUUGCCAAGUAACUUGUAAGAGAGGAGAAGAACAAGGAAGAAUAGGGAAAGGAAAAGGAAAAAGCUCCUUCAAUAAAGUGAGGGAGUAUUUGAGAAGGGAAAGUGGCUUCAUGCUUGUUGGGCUAAAGUAAGAUAGAGGGACAAGUACAGGUAUCUUGCUUUAGAAGAGAUACAUGGCUCACCCCUAUUAUGUAUAGAGGUGGGUGGCAGUAGUUGAGAAGGAAAUAAAGGAAGGUAGUGGUGGAGUGCCAGAGUGAACUCUCAAAGUUCAAGAAGGAGGGCAUAAGACAGGAUAAGGACGGUGGUUCAUGGGAAGGAAGGUGGGAAGGAAUGCAUUCAUAGAGUGUGAGUAGUGACAUUCAUAGGCAUGUAUGUAUGUAUAUAUUAUUUAGGCAUGCAUGUAUAUAUGCAUAUAUGUGUGUGUAUGUGUGUCUGCAUGCAUGUGUGCAUGCAUGUGCGUGCAUGUGUGUGUGUGUAGUCAACAAGUACAUCAUCAUAAAUGCAGAGCAAAGCAGACUGAAAGAAAGCUAUCACAAUUUGACAGUCAGCAUUUGUCACUAAUUUCUUCAUUUUUCAAAGACAUCCCAAACUGAUAAACAGACAACAUCGACCAUCGACACACACACCCACACACAUAUUGUGAAACAAAAAGAAUAAAGAAAAUACAGUUGGGAGAAGUGUUUUUUUUCAAAUAUUGCAUUAGUUUGAUGCUUUAGUGUGUAUGUAUGUGUGCAUAUGCAUGUAUGUGAAUAUGCAGGUAUAUAUGCAUUUGUGCCUUAUAGAAUCUGUAGCUUCAAUUUCAUUCUAUACCAAAACUUGUGUACCGUACAUCUCUUGUACACUAGUUCUAGUACAUAGCAUAUAUUUUUGUUAAAAACAUCUUGUUCAUUGUACACACAUUGUCUUCUAUAUCUUAAAUGUGCUACAUCCUUUUUAUACAAACCUUUGCACAAAUGAAGCUUUCCUACUCACUUUUUAAUUGUAGUACAUUUUGUUUUAUACAAACCAAACUUUUACACAAUGACAGUUUGUUAUACACCAUAUCUUAGAUAUGCUACAUGUUAUUUUUAUACAAACUAUGACACAUUGAAAAUCUUUUUAUGCUCAACACCUGAGAUGUACUUUAUCCUUUUUUAUACAAAAAUUUUAAUAUUUUUAUAUUUAAUAUUUUAUAUUUAAUAUAUUUUGUAUUCAAUAUCUAUAAUCUUUUAUACACUUUUUACACAAAAUCUUACAGAUUGCAUAUCUUCAUAGUCUCCAGCUUGUAUGUGGUAGAUCCUUUUUACACAAAGCCCGUCAUGGAUAGUCACUGUUUUAGAUAUGGUAUAUCCCUUUAUUCAAACCCUUACACACUGAAUAUGAUUUGUACUCUCCAUCUUGAUUCAGUGUGGAAUUUUUGUUUUACUUUAAGUCCUGCAUAUUGAAUAUCACGUAGACAACAUUAUAAUAUUGUAUAUAUAUAUAUAUUUUGUGAGGUAUGCUUUGAUGCCAUACACUUUACCAGAAUCUUUUGACUCGGGUCCAGUAAAACAUUCCAUUGCUAUAUCCUUGUUAGUAUUAACCAUGUUAUUGAAGCAAGGACAUUUAAUAUAAGUGUUUCAAGUAAUUUUGUAAGAGAGUUCUUACAUUAUAACUUAUUCAUCUGAGAUGUUUUGACUGAAGAGAAUUUAUGUAAGAACUCUUUUACAUAAAUGCUUGAAAUACAAAUAACACCUUUGAUUAUGUCAUUGUAUGUGUCAAAAAAGAAAAAAAACUUACAUAUUUAAUAUAAUUACACAAAAUUUUGUACAUUUUAAAUUCUUUGUACAGCAAAUCUUUCAUAUUAUUUUUCCAUAAAUACUGUAUGUUUGUUUUUUGUUCAUAAAGUCUUGCAUUCUCUGUAUCAUAUGUGCACAAAUUCACAUACUGCGUAUCAUUUGUACUGGACACCUUAUAAAUACAUACACCCAUACAUACUCAUGCACUCACACACAUAUAUACAUAUGUAUUUGUGUAUGUGUGUAUAUACAUACAUACACGCAUGCAUGCAUACAUGCAUACAUACAUACAUACAUACAUACAUACAUACAUACAUACAUACAUACAUACAUACAUAUAUAUAUAUAUAUAUAUAUAUAUAUAUAUAUAUAUAUAUGCAUAUACCAGAGUAAGCAUAUACAUGUGAAACAAGGUGAGAAAAAAUAGUACUUGAAUACUGGAGGUAGAGUAAUAUGCUUUAUUAUUAAAGCUGCAAAAACUGCUGUGAAUUUGAAUCAACUGCUCAAUGAACGGGAACGUGAAACUCUGAGUAGCAGAUUUUUGUGAUGGUUUUGCAGGUUUAAUAAUAUUCAUACAGACAUACAUACAUACAU